Molecule: ribosomal RNA, 860 nt
Filed under: Pediococcus pentosaceus
Lineage: Bacteria; Bacillati; Bacillota; Bacilli; Lactobacillales; Lactobacillaceae
Description: bacterial SSU rRNA
Rfam family: Bacterial small subunit ribosomal RNA
Source: RNAcentral
CUAAUACUGCAGUCGAACGAACUUCCGUUAAUUGAUUAUGACGUACUUGUACUGAUUGAGAUUAAAACACGAAGUGAGUGGCGAACGGGUGAGUAACACGUGGGUAACCUGCCCAGAAGUAGGGGAUAACACCUGGAAACAGAUGCUAAUACCGUAUAACAGAGAAAACCGCAUGGUUUUCUUUUAAAAGAUGGCUCUGCUAUCACUUCUGGAUGGACCCGCGGCGUAUUAGCUAGUUGGUGAGGUAAAGGCUCACCAAGGCAGUGAUACGUAGCCGACCUGAGAGGGUAAUCGGCCACAUUGGGACUGAGACACGGCCCAAACUCCUACGGGAGGCAGCAGUAGGGAAUCUUCCACAAUGGACGCAAGUCUGAUGGAGCAACGCCGCGUGAGUGAAGAAGGGUUUCGGCUCGUAAAGCUCUGUUGUUAAAGAAGAACGUGGGUAAGAGUAACUGUUUUCCCUGUGACGGUAUUUAACCAGAAAGCCACGGCUAACUACGUGCCAGCAGCCGCGGUAAUACGUAGGUGGCAAGCGUUAUCCGGAUUUAUUGGGCGUAAAGCGAGCGCAGGCGGUCUUUUAAGUGUAAUGUGAAAGCCUUCGGCUCAACCGAAGAAAUGCAUUGCAAAAUGGGAGACUUGAGUGCAGAAGAGGACAGUGAAACUCCAUGUGUAGCGGUGAAAUGCGUAGAUAUAUGGAAGAACACCAGUGGCGAAGGCGGCUGUCUGGUCUGCAACUGACGCUGAGGCUCGAAAGCAUGGGUAGCGAACAGGAUUAGAUACCCUGGUAGUCCAUGCCGUAAACGAUGAUUACUAAGUGUUGGAGGGUUUCCGCCCUUCAGUGCUGCAGCUAACGCAUUAAG